This 541-nucleotide ribosomal RNA is filed under the name uncultured eukaryote. Its description in RNAcentral is "SSU rRNA". It matches the Rfam family "Eukaryotic small subunit ribosomal RNA", at positions 202 to 746 of the family's 1831-position model. The record is from RNAcentral.
UGUAUUUAUUAGAUUAAAAACCAAUGCCCUUCGGGGCUCCUUGGUGAUUCAUAAUAACUUAACGAAUCGCAUGGCCUUGUGCCGGCGAUGGUUCAUUCAAAUUUCUGCCCUAUCAACUUUCGAUGGUAGUAUAUGGGACUACCAUGGUUUCAACGGGUAACGGGGAAUUAGGGUUCUAUUCCGGAGAGGGAGCCUGAGAAACGGCUACCACAUCCAAGGAAGGCAGCAGGCGCGCAAAUUACCCAAUCCCGACACGGGGAGGUAGUGACAAUAAAUACUGAUACAGGGCUCUUUUGGGUCUUGUAAUUGGAAUGAGUACAAUUUAAAUCCCUUAACGAGGAACAAUUGGAGGGCAAGUCUGGUGCCAGCAGCCGCGGUAAUACCAGCUCCAAUAGCGUAUAUUAAAGUUGUUGCAGUUAAAAAGCUCGUAGUUGAGCCUUGGGCCUGGCUGGCCGGUCCGCCUCACCGCGUGCACUGGUCCGGCCGGGUCUUUCCUCCUGGGGAGCCGCAUGCCCUUCACUGGGUGUGUCGGGGAACCAGG